GAGUUUGAUCAUGGCUCAGANCCUUUUACUGGCGGCAGGCCUAACACAUGCAAGUCGAGCGGANACGAGUUAACUGAACCUUCGGGGAACGUUAACGGCGUCGAGCGGCGGACGGGUGAGUAAUGCCUGGGAAAUUGCCCUGAUGUGGGGGAUAACCAUUGGAAACGAUGGCUAAUACCGCAUAAUAGCUUCGGCUCAAAGAGGGGGACCUUCGGGCCUCUCGCGUCAGGAUAUGCCCAGGUGGGAUUAGCUAGUUGGUGAGGUAAUGGCUCACCAAGGCGACGAUCCCUAGCUGGUCUGAGAGGAUGAUCAGCCACACUGGAACUGAGACACGGUCCAGACUCCUACGGGAGGCAGCAGUGGGGAAUAUUGCACAAUGGGCGCAAGCCUGAUGCAGCCAUGCCGCGUGUAUGAAGAAGGCCUUCGGGUUGUAAAGUACUUUCAGCAGUGAGGAAGGUAUCGUAGUUAAUAGCUGCGGUAUUUGACGUUAGCUGCAGAAGAAGCACCGGCUAACUCCGUGCCAGCAGCCGCGGUAAUACGGAGGGUGCGAGCGUUAAUCGGAAUUACUGGGCGUAAAGCGCAUGCAGGUGGUUUGUUAAGUCAGAUGUGAAAGCCCGGGGCUCAACCUCGGAAUUGCAUUUGAAACUGGCAGACUAGAGUACUGUAGAGGGGGGUAGAAUUUCAGGUGUAGCGGUGAAAUGCGUAGAGAUCUGAAGGAAUACCGGUGGCGAAGGCGGCCCCCUGGACAGAUACUGACACUCAGAUGCGAAAGCGUGGGGAGCAAACAGGAUAANAUACCCUGGUAGUCCACGCCGUAANCGAUGUCUACUUGGANGUUGUGGCCUUGAGCCGNGGCUUUCGGANCUAACGCNUUAAGUAAACCCCNUGGGGNUACGGUCCCAAAUUAAACUCNAAUGAUUGACGGGGNCCCCC
This 933-nucleotide ribosomal RNA is filed under the name uncultured bacterium. RNAcentral's name for it is "bacterial SSU rRNA". It matches the Rfam family "Bacterial small subunit ribosomal RNA", at positions 9 to 924 of the family's 1533-position model. The record is from RNAcentral.